This 1172-nucleotide ribosomal RNA is filed under the name Salmonella enterica subsp. enterica. Its description in RNAcentral is "partial 23S ribosomal RNA". It matches the Rfam family "Bacterial large subunit ribosomal RNA", at positions 672 to 1757 of the family's 2925-position model. The record is from RNAcentral. Lineage: Bacteria; Pseudomonadati; Pseudomonadota; Gammaproteobacteria; Enterobacterales; Enterobacteriaceae.
GGAAACCGAGUCUUAAUUGGGCGUUAAGUUGCAGGGUAUAGACCCGAAACCCGGUGAUCUAGCCAUGGGCAGGUUGAAGGUUGGGUAACACUAACUGGAGGACCGAACCGACUAAUGUUGAAAAAUUAGCGGAUGACCUGUGGCUGGGGGUGAAAGGCCAAUCAAACCGGGAGAUAGCUGGUUCUCCCCGAAAGCUAUUUAGGUAGCGCCUCGUGAAUUCAUCUCCGGGGGUAGAGCACUGUUUCGGCUAGGGGGCCAUCCCGGCUUACCAACCCGAUGCAAACUGCGAAUACCGGAGAAUGUUAUCACGGGAGACACACGGCGGGUGCUAACGUCCGUCGUGAAGAGGGAAACAACCCAGACCGCCAGCUAAGGUCCCAAAGUCAUGGUUAAGUGGGAAACGAUGUGGGAAGGCCCAGACAGCCAGGAUGUUGGCUUAGAAGCAGCCAUCAUUUAAAGAAAGCGUAAUAGCUCACUGGUCGAGUCGGCCUGCGCGGAAGAUGUAACGGGGCUAAACCAUGCACCGAAGCUGCGGCAGCGAACGUAUCACCCAAGACAACUUUACGGAGUUGACGAUUGACGGAGCGAAGCGACGUCAAAGCGUUCAUUAAAGUCGAGUUGGCUUAGGGAUACGUUCGUUGGGUAGGGGAGCGUUCUGUAAGCCUGUGAAGGUGUGUCGUGAGGCAUGCUGGAGGUAUCAGAAGUGCGAAUGCUGACAUAAGUAACGAUAAAGCGGGUGAAAAGCCCGCUCGCCGGAAGACCAAGGGUUCCUGUCCAACGUUAAUCGGGGCAGGGUGAGUCGACCCCUAAGGCGAGGCCGAAAGGCGUAGUCGAUGGGAAACGGGUUAAUAUUCCCGUACUUGGUGUUACUGCGAAGGGGGGACGGAGAAGGCUAUGUUGGCCGGGCGACGGUUGUCCCGGUUUAAGCGUGUAGGUGUGUGUUCCAGGUAAAUCCGGUUCACUUUAACACUGAGGCGUGACGACGAGGCACUACGGUGCUGAAGCAACAAAUGCCCUGCUUCCAGGAAAAGCCUCUAAGCAUCAGGUAACACGAAAUCGUACCCCAAACCGACACAGGUGGUCAGGUAGAGAAUACCAAGGCGCUUGAGAGAACUCGGGUGAAGGAACUAGGCAAAAUGGUGCCGUAACUUCGGGAGAAGGCACGCUGACAC